Molecule: ribosomal RNA, 468 nt
Filed under: uncultured bacterium
Lineage: Bacteria
Description: partial 16S ribosomal RNA
Rfam family: Bacterial small subunit ribosomal RNA
Source: RNAcentral
GACGAACGCUGGCGGCGUGCUUAACACAUGCAAGUCGAACGGAAAGGCCCUGCGUUUGUGGGGUGCUCGAGUGGCGAACGGGUGAGUAACACGUGAGUAACCUGCCCUUGACUUUGGGAUAACUUCAGGAAACUGGGGCUAAUACCGGAUAGGAGCUCCUGCUGCAUGGUGGGGGUUGGAAAGUUUCGGCGGUUGGGGAUGGACUCGCGGCUUAUCAGCUUGAUGGUGGGGUAGUGGCUUACCAAGGCUUUGACGGGUAGCCGGCCUGAGAGGGUGGCCGGCCACAUUGGGACUGCGAUACGGCGCAGAAUCCUACGGGCGGCAGCAGUGGGGAAUAUUGCACAAUGGGCGGAAGCCUGAUGCAGCAGCGCCGCGUGCGGGAUGACGGCCUUCGGGUUGUAAACCGCUUUCGCCUGUGACGAAGCGUGAGUGACGGUAAUGGGUAAAGAAGCACCGGCUAACUACGUG